This 253-nucleotide ribosomal RNA is filed under the name uncultured bacterium. Its description in RNAcentral is "partial 16S ribosomal RNA". It matches the Rfam family "Bacterial small subunit ribosomal RNA", at positions 524 to 776 of the family's 1533-position model. The record is from RNAcentral.
UACGGAGGGGACUAGCGUUGUUCGGAAUUACUGGGCGUAAAGCGCACGUAGGCGGAUUUGUAAGUCAGGGGUGAAAUCCCGGGGCUCAACCUCGGAACUGCCUUUGAUACUGCAAAUCUCGAGUCCGGAAGAGGUGAGUGGAACUGCGAGUGUAGAGGUGAAAUUCGUAGAUAUUCGCAAGAACACCAGUGGCGAAGGCGGCUCACUGGCCCGGUACUGACGCUGAGGUGCGAAAGCGUGGGGAGCAAACAGG